RNAcentral lists this ribosomal RNA (271 nucleotides) under uncultured archaeon. RNAcentral describes it as "partial 16S ribosomal RNA". It matches the Rfam family "Archaeal small subunit ribosomal RNA", at positions 477 to 747 of the family's 1478-position model. The record is from RNAcentral.
CAGCGCCACAAGUGGGAGCCAUGUUUAUUGGGCCUAAAGCGUCCGUAGCCGGUCCGGUAAAUCUUCUGUGAAAUUGUCUGGCUUAACCAGACAGCGUGCAGGAGACACUGCCGGACUCGAGACCGGGAGGGGUCAGAAGUAUUCCUAGGGGAGCGGUAAAAUGCUAUAAUCCUAGGAAGACUACCUGUGGCGAAGGCGUCUGACUAGAACGGUUCUGACGGUGAGGGACGAAAGCUAGGGGAGCGAACCGGAUUAGAUACCCGAGUAGUCC